Molecule: long non-coding RNA, 719 nt
Filed under: Gossypium raimondii (Peruvian cotton)
Lineage: Eukaryota; Viridiplantae; Streptophyta; Magnoliopsida; Malvales; Malvaceae
Description: long non-coding RNA (GRAI_LNC003732)
Source: RNAcentral
UCACCGAAAUUUCAACCUAAAAUCAGCCAUGGGAAAUCUUGUUAUUCGGCCAAACUUUGAAGACAAAUUGGUGAGUGGUUUUUGCUCGGUUUUUAAUAAUUUCUACGUUUUUGAGAUCGUUGCUUUGUAAUUUAGCUAACCCGUACCUCCGUUUCUAAAACUGUUAAAGAUUUUGUGAAUUUCCAUUGUUGAAUACUUGAGCUCUUUGAUAGUUUUUGAUGAACUAUGGAUCUUUGAUGUUAGAUUUUUCAUCUUUUAUAAAGUGAUUUUUGAUAAAAUGUUAAUUAGGGAUUAAAUUGUGAAUUGUGGAAAUUUAGUGGUUAAAAUGUGAAAAAAAUUGAAAAUAUGGGAUACUAGUGAUAUAUGGAAAAUUCGGCUAGCUUGGAUUUGUGUUUAAUUUCAUGAAAUUGUGAUUUUAUGUGAUAAGGACUAAAUUGUAAAAAUGUGAAAUUAUGGGGAAAAAGUGUAAAUAUGCUUUAAGGUAAAUUUUGGAUUAAAUUGAAUAGAGAGAUAAUUAAAUAAGCUGAUUUUGAUUAUAUUUAGAUCGAGAAAAGUGAAAUACGGAUCUAGAUUGGAGAAAAGAUAAAGUAUCGGACCAGUCGAUCUGUUCCGUUGUUUUAGCAAUCGAGGUAAGUUCAUAUAAUCGAACUUCAGUGUAUAUUUAUGUAAUUAAUGAAUGAUAGUAUGAAUGUAUUCAUAUAAUUGAUUUAAUUGUGGAG